RNAcentral lists this ribosomal RNA (446 nucleotides) under uncultured bacterium. Its description in RNAcentral is "partial 16S ribosomal RNA". It matches the Rfam family "Bacterial small subunit ribosomal RNA", at positions 338 to 795 of the family's 1533-position model. The record is from RNAcentral.
CCUACGGGUGGCAGCAGUCGAGAAUCAUUCACAAUGGGGGAAACCCUGAUGGUGCGACGCCGCGUGGGGGAAUGAAGGUCUUCGGAUUGUAAACCCCUGUCAUGUGGGAGCAAAUUAAAAAGAUAGUACCACAAGAGGAAGAGACGGCUAACUCUGUGCCAGCAGCCGCGGUAAUACAGAGGUCUCAAGCGUUGUUCGGAAUCACUGGGCGUAAAGCGUGCGUAGGCUGUUUCGUAAGUCUUGUGUGAAAGGCGCGGGCUCAACCCGCGGACGGCACAUGAUACUGCGAGACUAGAGUAAGGGAGGGGGAACCGGAAUUCGCGGUGUAGCAGUGAAAUGCGUAGAUAUCGAGAGGAACACUCGUGGCGAAGGCGGGUUCCUGGACAUUAACUGACGCUGAGGCACGAAGGCCAGGGGAGCGAAAGGGAUUAGAUACCCGAGUAGUC